UGGAGAUUGUUCUCACCUGUUCUAAGUCAAUACCACACCUGCACCUCUUGUUUGUCAGGAUCUCAGCAUUCAUGUCAAGCUUUUCAAUUUCUUCUGCCUUCAAGUCCUUCAUCUGAACUCCACACACCGAAAGUCAUGAAAGCAUCCAUCGAGCUCACAAUCGACAGAAGAAACAAGAAGAGCCGCCCCGUUUGCUCAGGCUGAUGAAAGCAGACCCGGAGGGUCUUUUAGUUAGUGCCUGACAGAAGCAGCAGCCGCAGAGAGGUGCCUGGUGCUACCGGAGGUGUGACAGAGUCCCAGCCCACCGUACAUUGAUUCACACAGGAUUAAGCUACUGCAGAAUGCUGCAGGCGGAAGGCUCGGCGCAGGUGAUUUACCGUCACUGUCAGACUUAACAUCACCGGACACCUCUGCCCUGCUCCCGUCUGCUGUGGAGGGACUACGCAAAACCAUCUGCCACUGCACCACCCAAAGGCAUGACUCACCCUCAUCUCACACAGGAGUAAGAGAGGAAGCGAUGGGCUGGACUAUGAUUCUAAAAAAUGACUUUGGGGUCAUCGCCUGGACUCGGCACACUGCAAAGUUGGUCAGCCUCUUCCUCCUCUUGUCUCUUUUUACUAUUCCAAUCCCUUCAACAGACACAGUUCUACCCAGGGACCAGCAUUUCUCAUGGAAAGCAGGGCGCUGACUGAGAUUAUCAUAAAAGCCAGCAACUCGUCUCUGGAGAGGUCCCAGGCAGAAGAUUCAUGGCACUCAGAUCCUAAAUCCCAUGAAAACAUUCCUGCAGAAGUUUGAGCUUCCACAGAAAUGGGCUGCUCUGAAGUGUCUUUCAAACAGAACAGGCCUUUCACAUAUGUUAUUUUAGUCCAGAAAUGUUCAGCUCGGGACAAAUCUCCCUCAGUUUGAAUUGAUCAUAAGAGGAUUAAAUAUAGAUUUGAAAAAGAAACACAUGACGCUCAUUGAGCUUCUCAAACAUCAAGUCUGG
This 985-nucleotide long non-coding RNA is filed under the name Oryzias sinensis (Chinese medaka). Its description in RNAcentral is "lncRNA (ENSOSIG00000008270.1)". Lineage: Eukaryota; Metazoa; Chordata; Actinopteri; Beloniformes; Adrianichthyidae. The record is from RNAcentral.